This 2925-nucleotide long non-coding RNA is filed under the name Mytilus galloprovincialis (Mediterranean mussel). Lineage: Eukaryota; Metazoa; Mollusca; Bivalvia; Mytilida; Mytilidae. The record is from RNAcentral.
AAAAAAAACGCUUUACAAUUAUAAGCCCUUUUUCGGAUUCAUAAAUCUACAUAAGGAACACUCAGCUGCAAAUAUUUGAGGGUCAAGAAUGUACAAGUACUUAAAUGCGUAAAUAUUAUUGGACCACUCAGAAUUUAACCCUGUUCUGCUGUAUGCAGACAAUCCUUUAUAAACGAUUGUUGAUUGUGAUGUAGAAAUUCCUCGGGGCAAAUGUAUUUCUAUCCGCAAACUUGUUUGUACCUUCAUUCGUUUGUAUUGAAAAACGUUAACCGUAAUAAUUAAUUACAAAAACAUUGUGUAGUGAUACAACAUCUUGUCAACAGGAAACUUGUGUAGUGUUAUGACACACAAAAAUAUAAAUGUAAACAAUUUGUAACAUCUGGACAUUUCAUAAUAAAAGGUUUGUUUUCAUGUACUCAAUCUUUCAUAUGUAUACCACAUUAGUUUCUCAAGGUAUUUAAACUUGAUCGCAGUAUUUUUAGUUUUUAUUAUACAUGUUAUACUCUUUUGUUCUAGAACAUUUGCUUUUUCUUAGUUUCAAAUAUUCGGUUUUUAUCACAAUCAAUGAGACAUAUAUUUAACUUCACACAUACAGAUCAUAACAUGAGCAAAUAAGAUCAAAUAAGCUGUCGUAGCUGGUAUUGUUGCACUGCUACCGGAAAUGAUGCCGCAUCUGGUGGACUACAGUGGCUGCAGUUUGUUGCUGUGAUACAUAUUUGUUUUUCAUUCAUAAUUCUAUACAUAGACUAUGCCGUUAGGUUCUCGUUUGAUUUUAUUUUAAUUUGUCAUUUCGGGGUCUUUUAUAGCUGACUAUGUGGUAUGUGCUUUGCUCAUUUUGUAAGGUCGUACACCGACCUAUAAUUGCGUAUGUCCAUUUCAUUUGAACUUUGAUGGAUAGUCUUCUCAUUGGUGAUCAAACCACAUCCCCUUAUUUGAACACAAUUCAAAUAUUGACCCAUAUACUCCGUAACAAAUGCAUCUUAAUGACUUAUUAUUGCUAUGGUGUUGCUCUUAAACCUGAGAUUGAUGCUAGAUCAAUUUUAAAUUGAUAGAAUGAUAUAUUUAGAUUAGUUAAAUUUUAAGGUUAAUCUCCGAUAUGUCUGAGCUUUAUGCUAUUUUUUUGGUAGGGAGGGGGGUACAACCACUUAUAAGGAAUGGUCAUUGAAAUGGUGAAGGAAUAUUGCCAUUUAGGAGGGUCUGGAUGGGGGGUCUGUUAUUCUGUAAACAUUCAAUUUUCACCCCUUUUUUCUCUAAUCUUCAAAAAAUUAACCCCUUUUUUCUCUAAUCUUGAUUUUUUUUGCCCGUUAUUCUCUAAUCUUCAUUUUUUAAGGGCAUUAUUCUUUAAUCAUUUAACCCCCAUCCAAACCCUUAUUUAGUAUAUCAGAUAACACAGGGAAACCCAAAUAUACUAAACUUCCAGACAAAGUCUUGGAAACACGCCAACAUAACAACAGAUUUACAAUAGGAUAUAGAAAUUAAAAAAAAGUAUAUUUUUAUGUACCUUUACUUUGAACUGAUACAAUAAUACAUUUUCUGAUAUUAUGCUGUACAUGCCUAUCUAACACUUUAUCUUUACUUAGUACCUUUAUUGUGCUCGUGUUUUGUCCUAUGCCAAGUUAUUAUGAAGGUUUUGGCACUUAACUUGUUAAUCCUUCUUUAUGCUAUUCUAAUUUUGUAGUUUUCAUUGUUUGUUUCUGCUGAUAUUAGAAGUAAUAGUAGUGUGAAAUUUAACUAUUUUAUUGGCGCUGUUAACUUCACAACCUAUAGUUGCUAGAGUCAUAUGUGGAUGAAAUAUAUUUAAUGUGCCAGCAAAUUCUGAUCCUAUUCAAUCAUCGUUGAAUGAAUUGGAAAAGAAAUUACUUUGGUAUUCGUGAAUGAUGUUUCCUGGUUUUUUGCUACCUUUCCUUAUGUCUAAUAAUACUUUCAUUAAUUACUCCAGCGAUAAGACUCCUAUUCAAAUUAUUAAAAAGCACAAACCUAACAUUGCAACUUACUAUUUAUAUCUUUUACAAGAUCUGAGGAAAACAUGCUGCUUUUGUACUUGCUAACUGUAUUGUUAAUGGUUUCCUGGUCACUAGGGUGUUCCUGUGGGGUAGCAUCGCUUCAUCAGUACGUGUGUGGUUCUGAAUUUAGUAAGUACAGUUUUAACCAUCAUAAACUUUUAAGAAAAGUUACUUCUAAUUUAAUUUUAGUAUCCUGUCCUCCAGUACAGACAGUAGAUAUGAUUGCUUCGAUCAUUUAUACUGUUAAAUAAGAGAGAAGAAAGAUACAAAGAAUUGAAAAGAAACGCGAUCGGAAAUGACAACGUCAUGGCAGGAAAAAUGAAACCGAUCAAAAGAAAACCAAACAGUAUUCAAAACACAAUUUAGAAAACUAAAGACUUAGCAAAACCAACACCACCAAAACUGGGGUGUCUCAUGUGCUCGGUCAGUGUAGCAGAUUCUGCUCACAUGUGCAUUCGUUGUGUUGUUCGUACAAGUUCAAAACCUGGUUGAUAAGUUCUAAAUCGGUGGUCACAUUCGAGGAAAGAGGUUCGGAUUGGGAUAACGACAAUUGGAACAUUUUCGAGUCAUCUGUUGAAACAGAUUUACUUCAUAACGGUCAACAAACUGGUGAUGACGUCCGUAACAUUUUUGUUGGUAUGAUUUCACUUACCGCUUGGAACUUUUGGUUUUACUUCCUUGUGAGCAGAGAUCGUCUAUCAAUUAAUUUAUUAGUCCAUACAAUUUUUUUAAAGCAUUCAAUUAUCAUAAGGUCUUCUUUAAUCAACAAUAACUUGGAUUUUAUUUGCUGAUGCAAUAUAUGUUGUAUAUAACUUUCUCGUAUAUUGUUGUCCAUUUUCAGUAAUAGUAGGAAGAGUCCAAAGUUACUGCAUCCGAGACAACACAGAUGUAUACUAUGUGGUGAACGUUCUGGAUAUUUUAA